GAUGAACGCUGGCUGCGUGCCUAAUACAUGCAAGUCGAGCGAACAGACGAGGAGCUUGCUCCUCUGACGUUAGCGGCGGACGGGUGAGUAACACGUGGAUAACCUACCUAUAAGACUGGGAUAAUUUCGGGAAACCGGAGCUAAUACCGGAUAAUAUAUUGAACCGCAUGGUUCAAUAGUGAAAGACGGUUUUGCUGUCACUUAUAGAUGGAUCCCCGCCGCAUUAGCUAGUUGGUAAGGUAACGGCUUACCACGGGAACCAUGCGUAGCCGACCUGAGAGGGUGAUCGGCCACACUGGAACUGAGGCGGGGUCAAGACGCCUACGGGAGGCAGCAGUAGGGAAUCUUCCGCAAUGGGCGAAAGCCUGACGGAGCAACGCCGCGUGAGAGAUGAAGACCGUGGGAGCGUAAAACUCUGUUAUUAGGGAAGAACAGAUGUGUAAGUAACUAAGCACGUCUUGACGGUACCGAAUCAGAAAGCAACGGCUAACUACGUG
RNAcentral lists this ribosomal RNA (497 nucleotides) under uncultured bacterium. RNAcentral describes it as "partial 16S ribosomal RNA". It matches the Rfam family "Bacterial small subunit ribosomal RNA", at positions 28 to 507 of the family's 1533-position model. The record is from RNAcentral.